Non-coding RNA from Peziza echinospora, 89 nucleotides. The record is from the annotation of a GenBank genome assembly. NCBI's taxonomy places the organism in Eukaryota, Fungi, Ascomycota, Pezizomycetes, Pezizales, Pezizaceae.
GUCCUUGUAGCUCAGUGGUAAGCAGCGAGCGAUUGCAGUUAUACAAAACAAACAUCGCUAGGUCCCCCGUUCGAAUCGGGGCAGGGACU